Molecule: long non-coding RNA, 1414 nt
Organism: Zea mays
Lineage: Eukaryota; Viridiplantae; Streptophyta; Magnoliopsida; Poales; Poaceae
Exons: 1
Source: RefSeq, marked validated
GCCACCUAUCUCAACGAAGCUUUUUCUUCCCUCCGGUGUGGAUCCACACUCUUCAUGCGCGGGAUUGGGUUUUGGAUCUGCUCCUGUGUUUUCAUUAUUUGCUGGUUUCUCUUUUUGAUCGGGGAUUUGAGAUACGUAUUUGGUUGUGGACGAUGAAGAUUGUAUCUAUUGGUCUCGUUCGUCGUAACUGGCAUCUGAUUGGAUUGCCUUGCCGACCAUCCUGAUAUAUCACCACCCAUAUUCCGAGUCCGCUGCCUACAGUCCUCAGUCCCCAUCGAGAUUUUCUUAUCUAUUUAGCCUUUGUUCCAUGAUUUACUACUAUUGUUUUCUGGCCGAUGAUUAAAUCAAAAAAAUAGACAAGCAUAUGUCCGAAUCCAUCUAUGUGGAUAAGCCUAAUCUUCUCUAUGAGGUCGGCCACAUCUUCUAGGUUUACUGUUUUUUUUUCAUUUGAUCUUAUUUUGAUUCAUCUAGGGGCCGAAGACGAAAUAUAUGGAUGUUAUUUUUGUAUGAUACAUUUUGAUUACAAAACCAUUUCUGCCUUCCUUCUGAGGCCCCUCUUCAUUUGGAUCUUGUUAUUUUGUACGUUGUGAGUUUAUUUUGUGAUCUAUAUAAGUGGUUCAUGGCUUCUCCUAAGGUCGGGUGAUGAGUAAAUGUGCAUAGUUCAGAUGAUCAACCCUAGUGGUUUUGAUUACCUUGAAUAAAUAGUCUUUCGCUCCUAACUGACGACCUUAUCAACGCCCAGUCUUUCUUGGAUUAGAUAAGUUUCACUUUGCUGUAAGAUUUUGGUCGUCAGAAAAUGAUAAAAAUUUGCUUGUUUUGAAGUCUUGCGAGAUUUUUUUUAUUUUUCCGCACAUGCGGAGGAAGUAUUGAAAUGCACAUGUAAAGAGGCCCCGAGUUUGAUCCUGAAUACUCGGGCUCCUAACCUUGGUGUGCGAGAGUUUAAUCUGGCGAUUCACUCUUCUUUGAGAGCGCAGAUGCUUCCCAUCGUGCCCUCACUGUGAAUUGUCGCACAAUUACUUAAAAGCAGCCAUAUUUUCGUGUAAAGAAUUGUUUUCGCUUCGUUUGAUUGUCAGAAUUUGGCAGCAAAGAAUUGAAUCGAUGUUGAAUACCAAAUCAGUUUGGAUAUUGAAAUGGGCUUCAAAUCAAAUUCUUGUUUGGAUGGACAAGAAUUUGGUAUGUAAAAUCAUAGGGAAUUUUCCAAUUCCAAAGGAUGGGCUAGACAACCUUUGAAUUCCAAGCCCUGAGGAGUACAGAACUGUGAACUGCACGAUUGGAAAAAGGUCAGCCGAUUCCACCCAAAAGGAGUGCACGGCCUCUGAAUUGUGCGCGGCCAUGGUUACUAAAAUGAACAGUAGUGUGGAAUUGGAUUCCAAUGUAUUGCUAUUCAGAAUAAAACAUCAGCAUUUGCUUCAGC